CAAAGAGAGAAAAAGAAAGUUCUGUAAUCCCAAGUAAAAGCAAACUAGAUUUUAACCCGCGGUAUACCGCGGGAUGAUUUAUUUUUUAAAAGUAAUAUAUAUUAAAACUUGCAAAUUUUAUUUUUAUAAAA
RNAcentral lists this small RNA (131 nucleotides) under Arabidopsis thaliana (thale cress). RNAcentral describes it as "ATSL176050". Lineage: Eukaryota; Viridiplantae; Streptophyta; Magnoliopsida; Brassicales; Brassicaceae. The record is from RNAcentral.